AGUGAACGCUGGCGGUAGGCCUAACACAUGCAAGUCGAACGGCAGCACAGCAGUAGCAAUACUGUGGGUGGCGAGUGGCGGACGGGUGAGGAAUACAUCGGAAUCUACCUUUUCGUGGGGGAUAACGUAGGGAACUUACGCUAAUACCGCAUACGACCUUAGGGUGAAAGCGGAGGACCUUCGGGCGUUCGCGCGGAUAGAUGAGCCGAUGUCGGAUUAGCUAGUUGGCGGGGUAAAGGGCCCACCAAGGCUACGAUCCGUAGCUGGUCUGAGAGGAUGGAUCA
Molecule: ribosomal RNA, 284 nt
Filed under: uncultured bacterium
Lineage: Bacteria
Description: partial 16S ribosomal RNA
Rfam family: Bacterial small subunit ribosomal RNA
Source: RNAcentral